UACGUAGGGGGCAAGCGUUGUCCGGAUUUAUUGGGCGUAAAGAGCGUGUAGGCGGCCAUACAGGUCCGUUGUGAAAACUCGAGGCUCAACCUCGAGACGUCGAUGGAAACCGUAUGGCUAGAGUCCGGAAGAGGAGAGUGGAAUUCCUGGUGUAGCGGUGAAAUGCGCAGAUAUCAGGAAGAACACCCGUGGCGAAGGCGGGUCUCUGGGCCGAAACUGACGCUGAGGAGCGAAAGCGUGGGGAGCGAACAGG
Molecule: ribosomal RNA, 253 nt
Filed under: uncultured bacterium
Lineage: Bacteria
Description: partial 16S ribosomal RNA
Rfam family: Bacterial small subunit ribosomal RNA
Source: RNAcentral